AUUGAACGCUUGGCGGCAUGCUUUACACAUGCAAGUCGAACGGCAGCGCGGGGGCAACCCUGGCGGCGAGUGGCGUAACGGGUGAGUAAAUGCAUCGGAACGUAUCCUGUAAUGGGGGAUAACGUAGCGAAAGUUACGCUAAUACCGCAUACGCUCGAGAGAGGAAAGUGGGGGAUCGCAAGACCUCACGUUAUAGGAGCGGCCGAUGUCCGAUUAGCUAGUUGGUGGGGUAAAGGCCUACCAAGGCGACGAUCGGUAGCUGGUCUGAGAGGAUGAUCAGCCACACUGGGACUGAGACAACGGCCCAGACUCCUACGGGAGGCAGCAGUGGGGAAUUUUGGACAAUGGGCGAAAGCCUGAUCCAGCCAUGCCGCGUGCCGGG
RNAcentral lists this ribosomal RNA (382 nucleotides) under uncultured bacterium. Its description in RNAcentral is "bacterial SSU rRNA". It matches the Rfam family "Bacterial small subunit ribosomal RNA", at positions 30 to 408 of the family's 1533-position model. The record is from RNAcentral.